Long non-coding RNA from Leopardus geoffroyi (Geoffroy's cat), 543 nucleotides. RefSeq lists it as uncharacterized. Lineage: Eukaryota; Metazoa; Chordata; Mammalia; Carnivora; Felidae. The transcript has 6 exons. The record is from RefSeq and is a predicted model, not a curated record.
GUUGGACGUUCAACCGACUGAGGCACCCUGGUGCCCCAUGAGCCAGACACAUUUCUGUCACCAUGGAUUCCUCCAACAUGAGUGAAAAAUUGGAAUGACAGUAUCGGAAGGUCUGGGGACAUCUGUCUGUCACAAAGGAAGCAUGGUAGCUGCCAACCCAUUGUUUAGAAGAAUCCAGAGAAUGGCUCCAGGUCAAGAGUGGAUGAGAAGGGCCAGUUACCUGUUUUUCCCGGGGAAACUUCAGAUGUAGCCCUCACAGAGAAUGGUCUAUACCCAUAAUAAUGGCCAAGACCCAAGACAGUGCUCCAUUCACAUGGCUGCAGGUGUCACCUAUGAAUCACAAGGACAGCCCCAAAUCCUGCAGCUCUCCCUUGCUCUGCAAAUGAAGGCGGCAGCAAUGAUCAAGACUGGAAUCUUCCCAAGGCUCACCUGUAUAUCCCCAAAUAGUCCAUGUGUAUCUACCACGUGUCGGGUCCCAUUCCGGGCACUGGAGACAGAGGAGUGAACAAGGAGCGGCUCACUGCUUGCACCGGGGCAAGGGGA